CCCUUAGAUGUUCUGGGCCGCACGCGUGCUACACUGAGUGGAUCAGCGGGUCAGGUUGCGCGAAAGUGUUUCCUAAUCUUGAAAUCCGCUCGUGAUGGGGAUUGACGGUUGCAAUUUUCCGUCAUGAACGAGGAAUACCUUGUAAGCGCGGGUCAUCAUCCCGCGCUGAAUACGUCCCUGCCCUUUGUACACACCGCCCGUCGCUCCUACCGAUUGAGCAAUCCGGUGAAUACUUCGGACCGGUUACUUGGUUGGUUCGCUAACCUUGUGACUGGAAAGUCGAGUGAACCUUAUUGCUUAGAGGAAGGAGAAGUCGUAACA
Molecule: ribosomal RNA, 321 nt
Filed under: uncultured eukaryote
Lineage: Eukaryota
Description: partial 18S ribosomal RNA
Rfam family: Eukaryotic small subunit ribosomal RNA
Source: RNAcentral